UCCGCGGGGAUUGUGUGUAUCGGUGUUGUGCUGCGAUCAAUGCACUCUUCCGAAAGAGUUCCCUGCAACAUUCAUUCUUCUGAGAAAAUGGGCAGUUGUGUUUCAUAUUUUCUCGUUCGAAAUCACAACAAUCAUUUUCCCUACAUUU
This is a small nucleolar RNA of Abrus precatorius (Indian licorice), 148 nucleotides long. RefSeq annotates it as small nucleolar RNA snoR135. The record is from RefSeq and is a predicted model, not a curated record. The transcript has a single exon. NCBI's taxonomy places the organism in Eukaryota, Viridiplantae, Streptophyta, Magnoliopsida, Fabales, Fabaceae.